CGUAAGGGGGCAAGCGUUGUUCGGAAUUACUGAACGUAAAGGGCUCGUAGGCAGCCAUCUAAGUCAGACGUGAAAUCCCUCGGCUUAACCAGAGAACUGCGUCUGAUACUGGACGGCUUGAGUUUGGGAAAGGGAUGCGGAAUUCCAGAUGUAGCGGUGAAAUGCGUAGAUAUCUGGAGGAACACCGGUGGCGAAAACGGCAUCCUGGACCAACACUGACGCUGAGGAGCGAAAGCCAAAAGAGCAAACGGGAUUAGAUACCCCGGUAGUCCCAACCCUAAACGAUGAAUGCUUGGUAUAACGGAUAUCGAUCCCUGCCAUGCCGAAGCUAACGCAUUAAGCAUUCCGCCUAAAGAGUACGGUCGCAAGGCUG
This 373-nucleotide ribosomal RNA is filed under the name uncultured organism. Its description in RNAcentral is "bacterial SSU rRNA". It matches the Rfam family "Bacterial small subunit ribosomal RNA", at positions 525 to 896 of the family's 1533-position model. The record is from RNAcentral.